RNAcentral lists this ribosomal RNA (452 nucleotides) under uncultured bacterium. Its description in RNAcentral is "partial 16S ribosomal RNA". It matches the Rfam family "Bacterial small subunit ribosomal RNA", at positions 28 to 507 of the family's 1533-position model. The record is from RNAcentral.
GAUGAACGCUGGUGGCGUGCCUAACACAUGCGAGUCGAGCGAUUCUCUUCGGAGAAGAGCGGCGGACGGGUGAGUAACGCGUGGGUAACCUGCCCUGUACACACGGAUAACAUACCGAAAGGUAUGCUAAUACGAGAUAACAUGCUUUUAUCGCAUGGUAGAAGUAUCAAAGCUUUUGCGGUACAGGAUGGACCCGCGUCUGAUUAGCUAGUGUGGGAGGUAACGGCUCACCAAGGCGACGAUCAGUAGACGACCUGAGAGGGUGAUCGGACACAUUGGAACUGAGCCACGGUCCAAACUCCUACGGGAGGCAGGCGUGGGGAAUAUUGCACAACCGGCGAAAGCCUGAUGCAGCAACGCCGCGUGAGCGAUGAAGGCCUUAGGGUAGUAAAGCUCUGUCCUCAAGGAAGAUACUGACGGUACUUGAGGAGGAAGCCCCGGCUAACUACGUG